AGCAGCCGCGGUAAUUCCAGCUCCAAUAGCGUAUAUUAAAGUUGUUGCAGUUAAAAGCUCGUAGUUGAAUUUCGGGAUCAAAGAAUCGGUCAUGCCUUGGUAUGUACUGGUUUUAUUGGUUCUCACCUUCUAAAGAACCAUGAUGUCAUUCAUUUGAUGUUAUGGGGAAUUAGGACUGUUACCCUGAAAAAUUAGAGUGUUUAAAGCAAGCUUACGCUUGAAUACAUUAGCAUGGAAUAAUGAAAUAGGACAUCAGAUUCUAUUUUGUUGGUUUCUAGGAUCGAUGUAAUGAUUAAUAGGGAUAGUUGGGGGCAUUAGUAUUCAAUUGUCAGAGGUGAAAUUCUCGGAUUUAUUGAAGACUAACUACUGCGAAAGCAUUUGCCAAGGAUGUUUUCAUUAAUCAAGAACGAAAGUUAGGGAUCGAAGACGAUCAGAUACCGUCGUAGUCUUAACCAUAAACUAUGCCGACUAGGGAUCGGAUGAUGUUAAUUUUUUAAUUGACUCUA
RNAcentral lists this unclassified non-coding RNA (506 nucleotides) under uncultured Glomus. RNAcentral describes it as "SSU rRNA". It matches the Rfam family "Eukaryotic small subunit ribosomal RNA", at positions 569 to 1083 of the family's 1831-position model. The record is from RNAcentral. Lineage: Eukaryota; Fungi; Glomeromycota; Glomeromycetes; Glomerales; Glomeraceae.